CUACGGGAGGCAGCAGUGGGGAAUUUUGGACAAUGGGCGCAAGCCUGAUCCAGCCAUGCCGCGUGAGUGAAGAAGGCCUUCGGGUUGUAAAGCUCUUUCGGCGGGGACGAAACGGUCCGUGCUAAUACCACGGACUAAUGACGGUACCCGCAGAAGAAGCACCGGCUAACUACGUGCCAGCAGCCGCGGUAAUACGUAGGGUGCAGGCGUUAAUCGGAAUUACUGGGCGUAAAGCGUGCGUAGGCGGUUUGUUAAGACAGGUGUGAAAUCCCCGGGCUUAACCUGGGAACUGCGCUUGUUACUGGCAGACUUGAGUGUGGCAGAGGGGGGUGGAAUUCCAGGUGUAGCAGUGAAAUGCGUAGAUAUCUGGAGGAACACCGAUGGCGAAGGCAGCCCCCUGGGCUAACACUGACGCUGAUGCACGAAAGCGUGGGGAGCAAACAGGAUUAGAUACCCUGGUAGUCCACGCCCUAAACUAUGUCAACUGGUUCUCGAGGAAGAAAUUGCCUUUUAAGGAACCUCACAAAUCUCAAAGAAACCCUGUACUACCCUUUUCGA
RNAcentral lists this ribosomal RNA (558 nucleotides) under uncultured Oxalobacteraceae bacterium. Its description in RNAcentral is "bacterial SSU rRNA". It matches the Rfam family "Bacterial small subunit ribosomal RNA", at positions 339 to 843 of the family's 1533-position model. The record is from RNAcentral. Lineage: Bacteria; Pseudomonadati; Pseudomonadota; Betaproteobacteria; Burkholderiales; Oxalobacteraceae.